Molecule: long non-coding RNA, 354 nt
Filed under: Rattus norvegicus (Norway rat)
Lineage: Eukaryota; Metazoa; Chordata; Mammalia; Rodentia; Muridae
Description: long non-coding RNA NONRATT024806
Source: RNAcentral
GAACCGGCGGGCGGGAGGCCUGACCCUUGGAGCAGAGGUACUGGAAGCAUGGCAUCCCUGCAGCUGCUCAGAGGUCCCUUCCUGUGUGUUCUGCUCUGGGCCUUUUGUGUUCCUGGUGCCAGGGCCCAGGAGCAUGGGGCUGGUGUCCACUAUGGCAGCGUGGGCCUGGACAAGAGCACAGUGCACGACCAAGAGCACAUUAUGGAACAUCUGGAAGGUGUCAUCAACCAGCCAGAGGCGGAGAUGUCCCCACAGGAACUACAGCUCCAUUAUUUCAAAAUGCAUGAUUACGAUGGCAACAGUUUGCUUGAUGGCUUAGAGCUCUCGACGGCCAUCACUCACGUGCACAAGGAG